CAGAGGGUGCAAGCGUUAAUCGGAUUUACUGGGCGUAAAGCGUGAGUAGGUGGCUUCCUAAGUCGGUUGUGAAAUCCCUGGGCUUAACCUGGGAAUUGCAGUCGAUACUGGGAAGCUCGAGUUCGGUAGAGGGUGGCGGGAUUCCCGGUGUAGCGGUGAAAUGCGUAGAUAUCGGGAGGAACAUCGAUGGCGAAGGCAACCACCUGGGCCUGAACUGACACUGAGACACGAAAGCGUGGGUAGCAAACAGGAUUAGAUACCCUGGUAGUCCACGCCGUAAACGAUGAGAACCUGACGUCGGUUUGCUCUGCGAAUCGGUGUCGUAGCUAACGCGCUAAGUUCUCCGCCUGGGGAGUACGGCCGCAAGGUUG
RNAcentral lists this ribosomal RNA (371 nucleotides) under uncultured organism. RNAcentral's name for it is "bacterial SSU rRNA". It matches the Rfam family "Bacterial small subunit ribosomal RNA", at positions 526 to 896 of the family's 1533-position model. The record is from RNAcentral.